UGGAGGGGGAUAACUACUGGAAACGGUAGCUAAUACCGCAUAACGUCGCAAGACCAAAGAGGGGGACCUUCGGGCCUCUUGCCAUCAGAUGUGCCCAGAUGGGAUUAGCUAGUAGGUGGGGUAAUGGCUCACCUAGGCGACGAUCCCUAGCUGGUCUGAGAGGAUGACCAGCCACACUGGAACUGAGACACGGUCCAGACUCCUACGGGAGGCAGCAGUGGGGAAUAUUGCACAAUGGGCGCAAGCCUGAUGCAGCCAUGCCGCGUGUGUGAAGAAGGCCUUCGGGUUGUAAAGCACUUUCAGCGAGGAGGAAGGUGGUGAACUUAAUACGUUCAUCAAUUGACGUUACUCGCAGAAGAAGCACCGGCUAACUCCGUGCCAGCAGCCGCGGUAAUACGGAGGGUGCAAGCGUUAAUCGGAAUUACUGGGCGUAAAGCGCACGCAGGCGGUUUGUUAAGUCAGAUGUGAAAUCCCCGGGCUCAACCU
This 486-nucleotide ribosomal RNA is filed under the name Serratia marcescens. RNAcentral's name for it is "bacterial SSU rRNA". It matches the Rfam family "Bacterial small subunit ribosomal RNA", at positions 134 to 615 of the family's 1533-position model. The record is from RNAcentral. Lineage: Bacteria; Pseudomonadati; Pseudomonadota; Gammaproteobacteria; Enterobacterales; Yersiniaceae.